UACACUAUAGUUCCAGCAGUCUUAUUCUUGGAUUAACAAAAAUUGCAAAAUAAAAGAUGCAAAAGCUGUUUUAAUUAGUGAAAAUAAUGGCUUCUAUGAAUACUUAAAUAUGAAUAAAAAACGCCCAAUCUAAAUGUAUUCUUAAUUUCACAUACUGUAUCUCUAUCAGAAAUAGUGCUCAACUUUCCAAUUCACUCUCCCAACCAAUACGCCACAACUUCAUUAUUGUCGAUUUUUACCAUAAAACGGAGAAAUAUAAAAGGCAAAGUAAAAAUCUUACUCCCCACAAGUGAAACCGCCAAUCCCUAAUCGUUUUUCUUGUGGAUCCUUAUCGACUUUAAUCAGCCACCAAUCGUGCAAAAAAACCUGCAAGAGGGAAAAAGAAACACAAAAAGAAGUGUUAGACUGGAGUGAUCGUGUCUACAUGUGAUAACACUGACCAUGAACGAUAAUCCUGGGGAAAGGAAAUACAAACUUCUUUCAAAAAGAAAGAAAGGACGGCUGUGCUGUUGGAAGAGGGAAGACUUUUUCGAGAGUAACUGCGGCGGAGGAGAGCGCUGGUUGGCGUCGCCAUGAGUGGCUCUGGGCGUGAUUUCUUCUGAUUUGGGGUUUCGAAUGGAGGGUAGGGUUCUUGGCGGAGGGAAAAUUUAGCCCUUGUUUGGUUGGGUAAAAUGUCAAAAACAUAUUUUGAAUAGUUUAUUUUAGAGAGUGUGUGAAAAAAAAAAAAAUUGAAGUAAAAUAUUUUAUUAUAUGAAUGUGUAACUAAAAAUGAGUAUGUAAAAUAAAUUAAAGUAAAG
RNAcentral lists this long non-coding RNA (797 nucleotides) under Olea europaea (common olive). Its description in RNAcentral is "long non-coding RNA (OEUR_LNC003390)". The record is from RNAcentral. Lineage: Eukaryota; Viridiplantae; Streptophyta; Magnoliopsida; Lamiales; Oleaceae.